UAUUGUGCUUAUUUUGGCUCAUUUGUGUUUUGACUGUUUUCCAGAAACUGUUCAGACAAUAACAGAAGAGUGGGAUGAUGAAGAAGAGAGUCUGAAUGAAGAGUCCAUUGAGGCCAGUGGAUCCAGCUCCUCUGUGAGUCGUAUGACAAGUCAAGAAGAUUAUGGUAUGUACUUGGAAACAGAAUGAUUGUUUUUUCAUUUCAGGAAGUUUCCAACAUUUCAGGGUAUUUUGAAAAUGUUGUAUUUCCUCUAGACUCAUCGGUGCCACCGAGCCAAUUCAGUGCAGAUGUUUCAGAAUCAAGUUCAUCUUCAGAACUUUUGCUGCAGCCUUCUGACUCAGACUCAUCAGUGCGACCCCAGCGCUGUUCCACCCCAAGACGAUCAUCAGCUUUUAAACCUUCAUCUUCAUCAUCAGACAGCAGAGUCUCACAAAGAUCAACCAGUUCAGCAGAAAAGAAGCCUAAAACAACUCAUUCAGACCCGGCACCAAGUUCCCAAACAAAAAAAUGGAGUGACAAGGAAGUUGCUGCUGUGGAGUCGCAAAUGGGAAGGUUCAUCACAAAGGGCACAACCCCCGGAAAGGAACAAUGUGAGGAGUGCAUCAGAAGGAGUCCUGAAGCGCUCAAGAACAGGGACUGGAGGGCAGUUAAGUACUAUGUCCGGAAUAGGAUUGUGUCUCUCACAAGGAAAACAUGAGGACAUGUUUUGUCAGGGGGGGGUGGGGGGUGGCAGGACAUCUUUUUGUUGUCGGGGGAUAAGGGGGGGGGGGGGGGGGGGGGGGGGGGGGGGGGGGGGGUGGCAGGACAUGUUUUCGUUGUCAGUACUCAUCUGCUCUCCAGUCCCCAUGUUUUUGUUGUCGGGGUUGGGGGCAGGACAUGUUUUUGUUGUCAGGGAAGGGGGGAGGGGGGUGGCAGGACAUGUUUUUGUUGUCGGGGGGGGGGGGUUUGGCAACAUUGCAUUUUAAUUUUGUAAUAGUCAGUUGACUUGAAAUUACUGUACUGUACUGCAAGUUAUUGCACUCUUCACCGAGCCAAGUCAGUGCAGAUGUUUCAGGUAAUGAAACAAUUUAUAUUUUUUUGUCUCAUGUUUCAAAUAAUAACUGCAUGCAUUUAUAUGUAAUUGGGGGUGAGUGAUUUCAGGAUAAGGAAAAUAUUCAAAAAAAAGUGUGUUCUCUAAUUUUCUACCGCCUAACCAAAAGUAUUUUUAAUGCAAGGUUAGUCAACCUCUUAAAGAAUGGUGGGAAGCAAUUUCUUUUGCUUAUGACAUUUGCUUCUGACAUUUGUUUUAGUACGGUAUUUAAUAUGUGGGGGGCACUGAUCUCAAAAAGAAACUGGAUAGCGCUUCGCAUGGUUUCAAAGUGAGGCCACAUGCAAAUCGUGGCGGCCAUUUUGUUGGGACUACUUUCCUGCCUGAGACCAAUGAUUAUGACGGGCGAUUAAUAUUAUAUAAAAGAUAUUUAAUGAAUUUGCAUAUUAAGCCUUAUAGUAAUUUCAAGUUUUCAUAAACCUUGUUAUAGAGCUUGUGUUUGCUUGAAUAAAAAUAUUGAAACUUGUUCCUCUAUCGUAUUUUAUUAGUGUUGAUGAUUAGAACCUGGCCCAUUGGUAGCUUUCAAUAACUUUAUUUCAAUAACUGUAUUUAUAAUCACAAGUUUAAUGGAUAUUUGCAAGCCAGAACAUGAAAAUACACACUGUCGGAAUUUAUUUGUUAUUUGUUUAUUUGUGUAGAGUGGAACAAAUAAAUUCCCACAGUGUGUAUUUUCAUGUUAUAAUAUGCAAAUUCAUUAAAUAUCUUAUAUAUAAUAUUCAUCGCCCGUCAUAAUCAUUGGUCUCAAGCAGGAAAGUGGUCCCAACAAAAUGGCCGCCACGAUUUGCGUGUGGCCUCACUCUGAAACUGUCAGAAACCAUGGGAUGUGCUAUCCAGUUUCUUUUUGAGAUCAGUGGUGGGGGUGGCAGGACAUGUUUUUGUUGUCGGGGGAGGGGGGGGGGGGGUUAUAGCAUUUUAUUUUCAUUUUAAGUCAGUUGACUUGAAAUUACUGUACUGUAAUUAAUGCACUCUUCAAUCUUUAUUUUGAACAGAAAAAGUGUAAUAAAAAUACAGUUUACAAAGCACAACAAUAUAAUGUCUUUAGUGGUAGUACUAACCUGGUCUUGACCAGCCCCUCGUUCUACACUAUCGUUUCGUACAAGGAUACAAGGAUACAAGGAUGUUUAUUUGUCACAUGCAUAUGAUUACUAAUGUAAAGAAUGCAGUGAAAUUGUCAGUUCCUGUCAGAGUACAGUACAGAGGGACUGGACAUUCAGGUAUUGAGAAACGAUUGUUUACUGGAGGUGUUUACAUUCAAAAAGACUGGAUCAGCCCUUGACUGAUAGCCUGUAGUAUUCUUGCGCUGCCUCACUCCGUUAGCUGACUGGCCAGGUCAUGAAUUCUCCUGGAGUAAUCCAGGUCAAUGGCUGAAAUCCCAGACGUAGCUACGAAGGGAGAAGAUAAUCGAGCGGAAUUGCGUAGGAAGGCUUUGGCCAGGCUAUGGUAGUACAGAAAUUAAGGUGAGAUAACAGUUACAUGGUCAGAAAACUGUUUAACUACAGAUGAGGGUGGAUAAUAUUCAUAAUCCACUUUGGUCUCCACUUGGUUUUAUACACACACUUGUUUGCCCCGCCUUGAGGGGCGGCGACAAGAGGUCCUAACAUGCUGUCAAAAAGUGAGGUUUGGUUUACAUGAGUGUUUCCACAGUUUCAAGUGCACAUGAUCAAACUGAUUUUUUUCUGAACCUAGUGAUGUCACUUUUACCCCUCUAUGUUGACAGAAAAGCAGGGUCCUCAGAAUGAUUGGCCCUACCUGGAGUCCUAAAAAGGUCACAAAUGCAAGACUGUGUGUGUGUGUGUGUGUGUGUGUGUGUGUGUGUGUGUGUGUGUGUGUGUGUGUGUGUGUGUGUGUGUGUGUGUGUGUGUGUGUGUGUGUGUGUGUGUGUGUGUGUGUCAAUUUACGCAACCCCGGGUUGCCCCACGAGGACUUGGCAGCAAAUGAAGUACAAAAAUAUAGUUUAAACAGGUAAACUAAUGUUUAAUUUAAAUCAAAUCAAUUGUGCUGUUUUGCCUGCAUGCUCUACCUAAUUUAACAGCUAUGUUCAACAUGUAUUAUAUAUUUGUAUACUAUAUUUAAGCAGUAAAUGUAAGUAGUACAUUUCCCAGCCACCCCAACACUGCCAAUAUUUAAUAGGAUUUAGAUAUAUUAGAAGGCUACACCUAGGCAAAAUGCAUUAUAUAUAUAUAUAUAUAUAUAUAUAUAUACAUAUGUCUUCAAAAUAGCGCUUACUGAAUAUUCGGGGAACAUUUUCCUCCAUGUUAGCAAAUCGAAAAAAUGCAGAGGCCCGGCAGACUGGAGGGGGUCCACCACCUGCAGCCCUCUCAGAG
RNAcentral lists this long non-coding RNA (3410 nucleotides) under Gadus morhua (Atlantic cod). RNAcentral's name for it is "lncRNA (ENSGMOG00000035305.1)". The record is from RNAcentral. Lineage: Eukaryota; Metazoa; Chordata; Actinopteri; Gadiformes; Gadidae.